GGAAUAACCAUCGGAAACAAUGGCUAAUGCCCCAUAUGCUCGCAAGAGUGAAAGGAGCAAUCCACCCAAAGAGAAGCUCGCGGCUGAUUAGCUAGUUGGUAAGGUAAUGGCUUACCAAGGCGACGAUCAGUAGCUGGUUUGAGAGAACGAUCAGCCACACUGGAACUGAGACACGGUCCAGACUCCUACGGGAGGCAGCAGUGGGGAAUUUUCCGCAAUGGGCGAAAGCCUGACGGAGCAAUACCGCGU
This 249-nucleotide ribosomal RNA is filed under the name uncultured cyanobacterium. RNAcentral's name for it is "partial 16S ribosomal RNA". It matches the Rfam family "Bacterial small subunit ribosomal RNA", at positions 140 to 402 of the family's 1533-position model. The record is from RNAcentral. Lineage: Bacteria; Bacillati; Cyanobacteriota.